Molecule: ribosomal RNA, 458 nt
Filed under: uncultured bacterium
Lineage: Bacteria
Description: partial 16S ribosomal RNA
Rfam family: Bacterial small subunit ribosomal RNA
Source: RNAcentral
CCUACGUGAUGCAGCCGUGAGGCAUAUUGGUCAAUGGGCGAGAGCCUGAACCAGCCAAGUCGCGUGAGGGAGUACUGCCCUAUGGGUUGUACACCUCUUUUGUCGGGGAGCAAAAGCCGGACGUGUCCGGCUGUGAGAGUACCCGAAGACAAAGCAUCGGCUAACUCCGUGCCAGCAGCCGCGGUAAUACGGAGGAUGCGAGCGUUAUCCGGAUUUAUGGGGUUUAAAGGUUGCGCAGGCGGAUUUUUAAGUCAGCGGUCAAAUCGUGGGGCUCAACCCCAUCCAGCCGUUGAACCUGGGGAUCUAGAGUGGGCGAGAGGUAGGCGGAAUGCGUGGGGUAGCGGUGAAAUGCAUAGAUAUCACGCAGAACCCCGAUUGCGAAGGCAGCAUACCGGUGCACAACUGACGCUCAGGCACGAAAGCGUGGGUAUCGAACAGGAUUAGAUACCCCAGUAGUC